UNGGAGAGGAAAGUGGAAUUCCUAGUGUAGCGGNGAAAUGCGUAGAUAUUAGGAAGAACACCAGUGGCGANGGCGACUUUCUGGACGAAAACUGACGCUGAGGCGCGAAANCCAGGGGAGCGAACGGGAUUAGAUACCCCGGUAGUCCUGNCCGUAAACGAUGGGUACUAGGUGUAGGAGGUAUCGACCCNUUCUGUGCCGGAGUUAACGCAAUAAGUACCCCGCCUGGGGAGUACGACCGCAAGGUUGAAACUCAAAGGAAUUGACGGGGGCCCGCACAAGCGGUGGAGUAUGUGGUUUANUUCGACGCAACGCGAAGAACCUUACCAGGUCUUGACAUUGGUGGACAGAACUAGAGAUAGUUCCUCUUCUUCGGAAGCCAGAAAACAGGUGGUGCACGGUUGUCGUCAGCUCGUGUCGUGAGAUGUUGGGUUAAGUCCCGCAACGAGCGCAACCCCUAUCUUAUGUUGCCAGCACGUAAAGGUGGGAACUCAUGAGAGACUGCCGCAGACAAUGCGGAGGAAGGCGGGGAUGACGUCAAAUCAUCAUGCCCCUUAUGACCUGGGCUACACACGUACUACAAUGGGAGUUAAUAGACGGAAGCGAGAUCGCGAGAUGGAGCAAACCCGAGAAACACUCUCUCAGUUCGGAUCGUAGGCUGCAACUCGCCUACGUGAAGUCGGAAUCGCUAGUAAUCGCAGGUCAGCAUACUGCGGUGAAUACGUUCCCGGGCCUUGUACACACCGC
RNAcentral lists this ribosomal RNA (747 nucleotides) under uncultured bacterium. Its description in RNAcentral is "bacterial SSU rRNA". It matches the Rfam family "Bacterial small subunit ribosomal RNA", at positions 649 to 1393 of the family's 1533-position model. The record is from RNAcentral.